RNAcentral lists this transfer RNA (76 nucleotides) under Gammaproteobacteria bacterium. RNAcentral describes it as "tRNA-Lys". It matches the Rfam family "tRNA". From Rfam's summary of the family: Transfer RNA (tRNA) molecules are approximately 80 nucleotides in length. Their secondary structure includes four short double-helical elements and three loops (D, anti-codon, and T loops). The record is from RNAcentral. Lineage: Bacteria; Pseudomonadati; Pseudomonadota; Gammaproteobacteria.
GGGUCGUUAGCUCAGUCGGUAGAGCAACGGGCUUUUAACCCGUGGGCCCUGGGUUCGAGCCCCAGACGACCCACCA